AUGCGGAUCUCCGGUGGGCAGGCGCUGGGGGAGGAAGCGGCCAGCGUGGUGCGGCAGGCGGUGAGCCUGGCGGAGCAGCGGGGGCACAGGCAGGUAACCCCGCUACACAUGGUCAGCGCCAUGCUCUCGGCGUCCCCGGCAUGCAUCCUACGCGCCGCCUGCCUCAGCUCCCAGUCCCACCCGCUGCAGCACAAGACGCUCGACCUCUGUCUAGACCUCGCGCUCAACCAGCUCGCCAUGGCCGUGAGCCGCCGCGGUGGCGACCACGUCGAACCUGCGCGGUCCAACGCCUUCACGGCCGCGCUGAAGCGAGCGCAGGCGCACGGUCGCAGCGGCGCCGUGGGCGGCGACAAGGUUGAGCUCGAGCAGCUCGUCCUCUCCAUCCUCGACGACCCCAGCGUCGACCGCGUCAUGCGCACGGCCGGCUUCUCGAGCUCUCAGGUCAGGGCCAGCGUCGUUUCGUUGCAGGCUUCAUCUCUCCAAACCGUCCCGGAGCUUCACCUGCCAGUCGUGCCCGACAACGUCCCAGACGGAAGGCUGAUUACCGCCGGCCGAAGUUCACGGAGCUCACCGCACACAAUCUCAAGAUCCUGUGCGACGCGCUCGAACUGCGAGUUCCCUGGCACGGGAACAUCGUUCCCGGAAUAUCGAGCACGGUGCUCCAGUGCCGAUCCGGCGUGA
RNAcentral lists this ribosomal RNA (681 nucleotides) under Triticum aestivum (bread wheat). RNAcentral describes it as "partial small subunit ribosomal RNA". The record is from RNAcentral. Lineage: Eukaryota; Viridiplantae; Streptophyta; Magnoliopsida; Poales; Poaceae.